This 1303-nucleotide long non-coding RNA is filed under the name Citrus sinensis (sweet orange). Its description in RNAcentral is "long non-coding RNA (CSIN_LNC001573)". The record is from RNAcentral. Lineage: Eukaryota; Viridiplantae; Streptophyta; Magnoliopsida; Sapindales; Rutaceae.
CAGGUACUGCAGUCUCUGCAGAGUUUGUUUGUUCACUUUCAAAGCAAAAGUGCAAGUCUAUAAAUAGACUGGUCUGAAUGAGAGUAUAAUCGGUGGUAAUUAUUGAGAGCUAUGCACCAUUCCUUCUUUGCGCAGAAAAUGACUGCAUCAAUUAGCUCUCAUUGCCCUAAAAAAUGUGCUCUGUGUAUUUCUGACCUGUGAAAUGCUUGUGAAAGUUGCCAGUGGCACAAGUCCUCUACCAUGAUUUAUCAGCAUGCAGUAUUAAUUUAUUAUUUAUAACCAGGGGAUCAACAAUAUAUGUAUCCCAGUGAAAUAAUUUGUUAGAGAGAAAACACAAAGAGGAUAAUAUAGCUUGGUUACACAACUAGUAUGCAAACCGCAUCCCUGACGGCUUAUUACUGGUUGUGUGUAAGAUGCUUAUUAUCAAAGUGAAAAGGCAGAAUUUGCCAUCUAAGAAGCUAUUUUGUAUAGAAUCAAAGAAAAUGGAAGAAUAGCUCAAACAAUUUGCACCAAUUAUUUUCCCUUUUAUUGAUGAUUAGUAUCAAACUAUCUUUUCAUCAUAAAGAAAUAUGUCAUAGUGAUAAAUUGUGUUGGUUUUGAAUCUUAAUAUUAUGUAAUCUUUUCUAUGUUCGAUUCCCUAACUCUUGAUUUUGGAAAAUUAAUUUUGAAUUUAAACUGUUAGAUCUUAUCAGCAAAUAUGCUCCAUUCUUUAGUGGGCCAUUGUCUGUAGAUACUUAUUCCUUGGAGAGUAUAAUCCCAAUUGUUAGAAAAGAUAUAAGAUUAAAUCUUUGAAUUAGUUUGGGAAAGGAGAGAAAGAUGCUGAUUCCCUUGGCACAAUAAUUUACCUUUUGUGGUUUUCUUACAUAAAAAAUCCAAGCUUAUUUGCUAAUUAAUUUUUUAUGGAUAUUGAUCAGGCUGCAGCUAUUAGAUUGGAAUUCAGGGGUGGUGAGUGGAAAGAUGCAUUUAUGCAGAUGGAUGGAGAACCAUGGAAACAGCCACUGAACAGAGACUACUCGACGUUCGUUGAGAUUAAGAGAGUGCCCUUUCAAUCUCUAAUGAUCAGUGGGGAGUAAAUUAUCUGGCAGUUAGUUCAUUCGGGUUUGGCUCCCUGGGUUGUUCGUUGAGAUUGAGAGAGUGCCCUUUCAAUCUCUAAUGAUCCAUGGGGAUUAAUUAUCUGGCAUUUAGUUCAUUUGGGUUUGGCUCCCUGGGUUGCUCAUUUUUGUUUCCAUCUUGGACCAUUGUAAAUUAUGACUGUAGUCUGUAGAUUAUAUUCAUAUGCCCAAAAUUGUAGGAGCAUUACUGU